AUUCAACUGACGAGUGCCAAAUAGGACGGAAUUUGCAUCCUGGAU
This 45-nucleotide non-coding RNA is filed under the name Trichobilharzia regenti. Lineage: Eukaryota; Metazoa; Platyhelminthes; Trematoda; Strigeidida; Schistosomatidae. The record is from RNAcentral.